Molecule: ribosomal RNA, 430 nt
Filed under: Pseudomonadota bacterium
Lineage: Bacteria; Pseudomonadati; Pseudomonadota
Description: Proteobacteria bacterium partial 16S ribosomal RNA
Rfam family: Bacterial small subunit ribosomal RNA
Source: RNAcentral
UGGGGAAUAUUGGACAAUGGGGGGAACCCUGAUCCAGCCAUGCCGCGUGUGUGAAGAAGGCCUUAUGGUUGUAAAGCACUUUAAGCGAGGAGGAGGGUACUGGUAUUAAUACUACCAGCUACUGGACGUUACUCGCAGAAUAAGCACCGGCUAACUCUGUGCCAGCAGCCGCGGUAAUACAGAGGGUGCGAGCGUUAAUCGGAUUUACUGGGCGUAAAGCGUGCGUAGGCGGCUAAUUGGGUCGGAUGUGAAAUCCCCGAGCUUAACUUGGGAAUUGCAUUCGAUACUGGUUAGCUAGAGUGUGGGAGAGGAUGGUAGAAUUCCAGGUGUAGCGGUGAAAUGCGUAGAGAUCUGGAGGAAUACCGAUGGCGAAGGCAGCCAUCUGGCCUAACACUGACGCUGAGGUACGAAAGCAUGGGGAGCAAACAGG